Molecule: non-coding RNA, 74 nt
Organism: Ornithorhynchus anatinus (platypus)
Lineage: Eukaryota; Metazoa; Chordata; Mammalia; Monotremata; Ornithorhynchidae
Source: Rfam
CUGUGUGAGGAGGACACAUGUGGUGCAGUAUGAUACUAGCAUAUGCUGCAUCAUGCGUGACCUCCCCACACCGU